GACGUAGGAGGCGAGCGUUGUCCGGAUUCAUUGGGCGUAAAGAGCACGCAGGCGGUUUGGCAAGUCGGAUGUGAAAACCCGGAGCUCAACUCCGGACCUGCAUCCGAAACUGCCCGACUAGAGGUAGGUAGGGGAGAUCGGAAUUCCUGGUGUAGCGGUGAAAUGCGCAGAUAUCAGGAGGAACACCGGUGGCGAAGGCGGGUCUCUGGGCCGAUACUGACGCUGAUGCGCGAAAGCGUGGGGAGCGAACAGG
This 253-nucleotide ribosomal RNA is filed under the name uncultured bacterium. RNAcentral describes it as "partial 16S ribosomal RNA". It matches the Rfam family "Bacterial small subunit ribosomal RNA", at positions 524 to 776 of the family's 1533-position model. The record is from RNAcentral.